CACUUCGCAUUUCUUUUUUUCUUGCAGAUUAGAUUUGUUCUUUAAAUACACAUUUUCUUCAAUUAGCUCUAUAAUUUCUUGAAGGCAUUUGCAGUAGAAUUACACAUAGCCAGUGCUAGUAGACCGUGGAAACUUUAUGUACAUUAAUCAUAAGAAUUCUUCCUGAUAAAAGCCUUUAUGACUUCAUUACAUAUAAACAGACCAAUUCUAUUACAUAGUUACAAUCCAUUUCAUGAUGGUGCGAACCUGUCCAUGAUCAAGAAGAUGGUGGAUUCCGAGAGACUAUUAACAUCUUUCUUAUCCUCCACCGAUGACUUUAGGUUACAGAAAGCAGCAGUUCUGCUUUCUUGUUGACGAGACACUUCACUUGACACCUGGGUUCUAUGAACCUGCACUUUCUGCUUAAGUUUUAUCAUCUCGCCCAUGCAAACAUUCAACAUAUCUGACAUUCUCAACAACCUAUUGAAUAUUUAUUCUAGUAAAUAUCUGUAUAUUUGUAUACACUCUUCUGCUGUUGAUAGUAAUGAAUACCAAGAGGCAAUAUGGCUAUAUAUACACAGAGGCAAAGUAAAUGGAAGAUAAUUGAAGGGAGAGAAAACCAGCAUGCUUGCAAACAGGUAAGUUGACAAAACAGGGGCAUUUCAUGCAUGAACCCGAGAAUAUUUUAGUGGAUAUUCCAAGCAUAUAUUUUAUAUGAUUGAACAAUAUACUGUACUAUAGUAUAGUUGUAUUCUGUUUGCUAUGUGUCCACACUUAAUAUGAGUGGACAUUGUUAAUUACAGGGGAGUAUUACUUAUUAGUCAAUUUUAACAUUUGAACAAAAUGAGGAUUUGAAGAUUAACUCAUCAGGAUUCAUAACUUAUAAGGUUAAGUAAAAGAAUCUUUUCACCAAGUUUAGGGUUCUAAUACAAUUCUAGUUAGUGUUCUAUUGUGGUUGCACUGUUUCAGUUGUCUGAACUUAUAUUCAUCUCUUUCGAUAUGUCGCCAGCAUAUUCAUAACCCCGUCAAUAAUCGCCUCCCGGAUAAUAAUCUGAAAUCUGCUAGAGGAUGCUGAACUUUCUUGAACAUCAGCCUGUAAAGGUGAAAGCUUUCACUCAGUGGACAGAGUUAAAGAAUAGGAGGGGAAAGUGGCUAGUUAAAUUUUCAAUUUUUUAAAUCACAUAACUAUGUUUGUUUUACCCUACCAGUCGACUAAUCUGAGCAUAAAGAGUUUACUGUAUGAUCACUAUAAAUAAUACACCAUUGUUCUUAGACCAUAACAGAAAUAAGCGAGGGAGGAGAACGGGGAUGUUGGUCCCGUUAUCACAAUUGGGAAUAUUAAUGUCCCAAAUAUCAUGAAAUAAAAUAAUGACCUCAAUGUCACUUAUUGACGUUACUUCGUGUACCGUAUUUAAUAUUAAUUGAAAACGCUACUCCGUGUAGCGUUUGUUGGGAUUAAAAGAACAUAAUGCUAUUUCGUUUAGCGUUUUGUUUGGUUAACAAACACAUACUCCCUCCGUCCCACCCAUUUCUUAUCGAAUGGGUUGGGCACGGAGGUUAAGAAAUAUGUAUAAAGUAGUGGAAAAGUGGGUAAAGUGGUGGGACCCAUUGAUUUUUAAUGUAUAAAAAGAAGGUAGUGGAGUAAAAGUAGUGUGAAAAGGAAAGAAAAGUGGAGAAGUAGUGGGACCCAUUGACUAUUUUUGGUAAGUUUUGAAAUGUAAAGAAUUGGGUGGGACACCCAAAAAGGAAAGUGUAAAGAAAUGGGUGGGACGGAGGGAGUACAUGUUAAAAAAAAACAGAAUGCUAUUACAUGAUUUAGCGUGUCCUUCCAAAAUUGGAAACGCUGGAUUAUCUAGCGGUAAUAAAUGAAUGAUAUUUGGGGGUGUUUGGUUUCAACUCUGUUAUUUUGGACAUUACUUAGUGUGUUUUGUGACAUCCGGAACCUUUUUUUGGAGAACAACAACUGAACAAUAAAGGAUAACAACAAGAAACAACAGAAAUCGCUAAGUUGCAAAGAAGACAGAUCCAGGAAGAAGAACAUGACAACUAGAGCAUCCUGCUUUUAUCCUUUUUCGAGCUCUAGUAAGUCAUGCUGUAGCCUACAGCCUAUCGCCAUGGCAACAUAACAAUGAGCAGGAGACCCUUGCCGCUGUAUUGAUAAUACUUUUAGUAAAGUUAAAACUUCUAAUUGAUCAUACACUCACAAACUAUAAAAUAUAAUGAUCACUAUCAGGUGUUUAGUAUGUUUGUUGAUCUCAAUAACAGAGCAGAACUACACCUAUUUCUAGGUUGGUCCGCAUUGUAAUUUACUUGUGCAUCUGGUGUGGACACUGGCUUUGUAGCUUCAUGAGAACAUGUAGAACUUGUAGGUGAACUCUUAGUUUCAUUACCUNUAACCGUGUACAUGUAUCACUGUAACUUUAGAUAAACAUUUUGCACAUUGAAACCAAAUUCAGGGAAAGUUAUAUUUCAGCACUGUAAAUGAAUGAAAAAUACUAAUAUUAUUAUUCCCUUUUAGGAUUACAAUUUAAUCCCUGCCAUUUUUCACUUCGCAUUUCUUUUUUUCUUGCAGAUUAGAUUUGUUCUUUAAAUACACAUUUUCUUCAAUUAGCUCUAUAAUUUCUUGAAGGCAUUUGCAGUAGAAUUACACAUAGCCAGUGCUAGUAGACCGUGGAAACUUUAUGUACAUUAAUCAUAAGAAUUCUUCCUGAUAAAAGCCUUUAUGACUUCAUUACAUAUAAACAGACCAAUUCUAUUACAUAGUUACAAUCCAUUUCAUGAUGGUGCGAACCUGUCCAUGAUCAAGAAGAUGGUGGAUUCCGAGAGACUAUUAACAUCUUUCUUAUCCUCCACCGAUGACUUUAGGUUACAGAAAGCAGCAGUUCUGCUUUCUUGUUGACGAGACACUUCACUUGACACCUGGGUUCUAUGAACCUGCACUUUCUGCUUAAGUUUUAUCAUCUCGCCCAUGCAAACAUUCAACAUAUCUGACAUUCUCAACAACCUAUUGAAUAUUUAUUCUAGUAAAUAUCUGUAUAUUUGUAUACACUCUUCUGCUGUUGAUAGUAAUGAAUACCAAGAGGCAAUAUGGCUAUAUAUACACAGAGGCAAAGUAAAUGGAAGAUAAUUGAAGGGAGAGAAAACCAGCAUGCUUGCAAA
Molecule: long non-coding RNA, 3138 nt
Filed under: Daucus carota (carrot)
Lineage: Eukaryota; Viridiplantae; Streptophyta; Magnoliopsida; Apiales; Apiaceae
Description: long non-coding RNA (DCAR_LNC000313)
Source: RNAcentral